Molecule: unclassified non-coding RNA, 253 nt
Filed under: uncultured Actinomycetes bacterium
Lineage: Bacteria; Bacillati; Actinomycetota; Actinomycetes
Description: uncultured actinobacterium contains 16S-23S intergenic spacer region
Rfam family: Bacterial small subunit ribosomal RNA
Source: RNAcentral
UACGUAGGGAGCUAGCGUUGUCCGGAAUCAUUGGGCGUAAAGAGCUCGUAGGCGGUCUGUCGCGUCGGAUGUGAAAGCCCGGGGCUUAACCCCGGGUCUGCAUUCGAUACGGGCAGACUAGAGUGUGGUAGGGGAGAUCGUAAUUCCUGGUGUAGCGGUGAAAUGCGCAGAUAUCAGGAGGAACACCGGUGGCGAAGGCGGAUCUCUGGGCCAUUACUGACGCUGAGGCGCGAAAGCGUGGGGAGCAAACAGG